RNAcentral lists this ribosomal RNA (468 nucleotides) under uncultured bacterium. Its description in RNAcentral is "bacterial SSU rRNA". It matches the Rfam family "Bacterial small subunit ribosomal RNA", at positions 330 to 793 of the family's 1533-position model. The record is from RNAcentral.
UCCAGACUCCUACGGGAGGCAGCAGUGAGGAAUAUUGGUCAAUGGGCGCAAGCCUGAACCAGCCAAGUCGCGUGAGGGAAGACGGCACUACGGGUUGUAAACCUCUUUUGCCGGGGAGCAAGCCUGGGCACGUGUGCCCAGGCGGAGAGUACCCGGAGAAAAAGCAUCGGCUAACUCCGUGCCAGCAGCCGCGGUAAUACGUAGGGGGCAAGCGUUGUUCGGAAUGACUGGGCGUAAAGGGUGUGUAGGCGGUGUAGCAAGUUAGAAGUGAAAUACCUAGAGCUUAACUCAGGUGCUGCUUCUAAAACUGCUAUACUUGAGUGCAGUAGAGGAAAGUGGAAUUCCUAGUGUAGCGGUGGAAUGCGUAGAUAUUAGGAGGAACAUCAGUGGCGAAGGCGACUUUCUGGACUGUAACUGACGCUGAGGCACGAAAGUGUGGGGAGCAAACAGGAUUAGAUACCCCAGUAU